AUAGAGUCAAAUGUGUGGUAAAGAUGGCGGCCAUUCGAGGGACACCCGAAUCCGACGCUGGAAGUUUUGAGUGUUUUCAAAAUUACACAGCCCCGGAGGUUUUCGUCCAAGGUCUAGCGGGCAUCGUAGAUCAACAAGAUGUAGAAUCUAUGAUUCGUGCUCAGAAGCAAAUGCUUCAAAGAUUCGAAAAAACGAAUGAAAUGCUAACAAACUGCAAUCAGCUAUCGGUAAAUCGUUUGAAGACUGCGGGAGUCGAGUUUAAGAAACACACCGCAUUGUUAGCAGAAAUGAAACGAGAUUUGGAUCACAUUUUCAAGCGGAUUCGGGUGGUCAAGACCAAACUCAGCCAACAAUAUCCGCAGGCAUUCAACGAGGCUGUAAGGAGUAGCCUGGCAGAGGAAGUUAUUGUCGAAGACAUUGUGCCAGGUCCACCGCCCCUCCAGCCCGAAAUAGUACCUCUACCCUUACCUGUGGAAAGCCAUGUUACCGAUGGAGAUCCAGACUCAGACGUUCCAGUGGAGGAGUUCCAAUUCGCAAAACUUCGGAAAAGACGGGUAAAGAGCAGCAAUAGCUCAUCGACCGAAAGCAACAACGAAAAUAGCAACGCCGAAUCCUCACCGUGCACCUCAGACACUGGCUGAUGAAAUUUUAUAAUUUUUCAACAGCCGACUGAGGAACUCGCAAGGACCCCAAGCAAAUUAGCCGACAAUAAACAGUAACUUCGCUAGAAAGCAAACGUUCAACAUUGUGGCCCUCGUAUUUAACAUUGUUACGAUAUGUAUAAUAAUAAAAAACAUGUAUAUAUGUAUACAGCACAUGUACACAAAAUUCCGAGUUUAUACAUCGAUAUAUAAUAUUAUUGUAUACACCUAUUAUAUUGUCA
RNA transcript from Diprion similis, 883 nucleotides. It is a transcript of the gene named kxDL motif-containing protein CG10681, with no coding region annotated. The transcript is spliced from 5 exons. Lineage: Eukaryota; Metazoa; Arthropoda; Insecta; Hymenoptera; Diprionidae. The record is from RefSeq and is a predicted model, not a curated record.